RNAcentral lists this transfer RNA (67 nucleotides) under Hexacentrus unicolor. RNAcentral's name for it is "tRNA-Cys". It matches the Rfam family "tRNA". From Rfam's summary of the family: Transfer RNA (tRNA) molecules are approximately 80 nucleotides in length. Their secondary structure includes four short double-helical elements and three loops (D, anti-codon, and T loops). Further hydrogen bonds mediate the characteristic L-shaped molecular structure. tRNAs have two regions of fundamental functional importance: the anti-codon, which is responsible for specific mRNA codon recognition, and the 3' end, to which the tRNAs corresponding amino acid is attached (by aminoacyl-tRNA synthetases). tRNAs cope with the degeneracy of the genetic code in two manners: having more than one tRNA (with a specific anti-codon) for a particular amino acid; and 'wobble' base-pairing, i.e. permitting non-standard base-pairing at the 3rd anti-codon position. Lineage: Eukaryota; Metazoa; Arthropoda; Insecta; Orthoptera; Tettigoniidae. The record is from RNAcentral.
AGUCUUAUAGUCAAGUUAUGAUGUUAGAUUGCAAAUCUGAAGGAGUAAAUUUAGUUUACUAAGGCUU